Molecule: unclassified non-coding RNA, 283 nt
Filed under: uncultured fungus
Lineage: Eukaryota; Fungi
Description: sequence contains ITS1, 5.8S rRNA gene, ITS2 and 28S rRNA gene
Rfam family: 5.8S ribosomal RNA (bases 235-283)
Source: RNAcentral
GGAAGGAUCAUUAUCGAACAGAAUGUGAGAGGCAUGCGAGCGCUGUCGCUGACCCAAAAGUCGUGCACGCCCGAGUGUGUUCUCUCACAUGAUCAAUCCAUCUCACCCUUUUGUGCAUCACCGCGUGGGCACCCUUCGGGAUCGUCUCGGAGGGGGCUCGCGUUUUCACACAAAACCCCCCUUUUAAAAAAAGUGUAGAAUGACCUCAUUUAUGCGCUAACCCGCAAUCAAUACAACUUUCAACAACGGAUCUCUUGGCUCUCGCAUCGAUGAAGAACGCAGC